CUCUCCAUAUCCUCUGUAGUCUGUAACAUAUUGUCCUCUUUUUUUUCCUUCUCAAAACCACCAACUUCUCUCUACUGACUACUGUAGCACUGUGAAACCACCACUACUGACGGCCACCCUUAAUCACAAUUGCACUGCCACAACUCGCAACAGCUAUCUCCCUUGCAUAUCGCCACUCACAAAAUCGAUGGUUUGGAGUUUUAUGACGUUUGCCGACAUUAUUGCCAUAUUGGGUUUAGGCCCUUUAUCCUUGAUAAGUCUACUCAAGCUAUUAUGAUUCAAGAAUAUUGGGAGAGGUUCACAUUUCUGAUCAUAAGAUUUAUGAAGAUGCUCCAAGGAUACCCUCCGGUGGUGAAGGUACAAAUCAGUACCCGGUUGCUAAUUCUGAAGGUGGGCAUCCUCAGAUUCUCGGAUGGGUAGUUGGUUGGCCUCCUGUCCUCGUAUACUGAAACUGGAAGUUAUCAAGAACCUUGUUGCUGCUUUGGAUAACCCAUUGCUUAGAAUUAACUCAGCAAGGAUUUUAACAAAUUUAUGCAUUUAUAGUAGCCCAGAGUGCUUUCAACAACUAAUAUAACCGUUAUUGUGCCUACUGAGUAAACCCUCAUUAUGAAGUAAACAUGAUUUAGGAGGUUUUCUGUAGUUUGAUGCAUUUUUAUUGAUGAGUUUGACCAACUUGAUCCAUUCCCUUUUUACUAGGAAAUUUUGUAAACCUGUUGAGAUAAUGUAUGACCAAAAUUGACCUAUGUACCUAUACAUGGAUCAAGAUUCUAUAUUACUAUUACCCAACUUGUUUG
Erigeron canadensis is the source of this 794-nucleotide long non-coding RNA. RefSeq lists it as uncharacterized. The transcript has 5 exons. The record is from RefSeq and is a predicted model, not a curated record. NCBI's taxonomy places the organism in Eukaryota, Viridiplantae, Streptophyta, Magnoliopsida, Asterales, Asteraceae.